CCAUACUCCUACGGGAGUCAGCAGUGGGGAAUAUUGCACAAUGGGCGCAAGCCUGAUGCAGCCAUGCCGCGUGUGUGAAGAAGGCCUUCGGGUUGUAAAGCACUCUCACUCAGGAGGAAAGGUUAGUAGUUAAUACCUGCUAGCUGUGACGUUACUGACAGAAGAAGCACCGGCUAACUCCGUGCCAGCAGCCGCGGUAAUACGGAGGGUGCGAGCGUUAAUCGGAAUUACUGGGCGUAAAGCGUACGCAGGCGGUUUGUUAAGCGAGAUGUGAAAGCCCCGGGCUUAACCUGGGAACUGCAUUUCGAACUGGCAAACUAGAGUGUGAUAGAGGGUGGUAGAAUUUCAGGUGUACGGUGAAAGAUCUGAAGGAAUACCGAUCGCAGCCAACACUGACGCUC
This 401-nucleotide ribosomal RNA is filed under the name Pseudoalteromonas sp. S3666. Its description in RNAcentral is "bacterial SSU rRNA". It matches the Rfam family "Bacterial small subunit ribosomal RNA", at positions 331 to 730 of the family's 1533-position model. The record is from RNAcentral. Lineage: Bacteria; Pseudomonadati; Pseudomonadota; Gammaproteobacteria; Alteromonadales; Pseudoalteromonadaceae.